ACUCCUACGGGAGGCAGCAGUAGGGAAGUCUUCCACAAUGGGCGCAAGCCUGAUGGAGCAACACCGCGUGAGUGAAGAAGGGUUUCGGCUCGCAAAGCUCUGUUGUUAAAGAAGAACACGUAUGAGAGUAACUGUUCAUACGUUGACGGUAUUUAACCAGAAAGUCACGGCUAACUACGUGCCAGCAGCCGCGGUAAUACGUAGGUGGCAAGCGUUAUCCGGAUUUAUUGGGCGUAAAGAGAGUGCAGGCGGUUUUCUAAGUCUGAUGUGAAAGCCUUCGGCUUAACCGGAGAAGUGCAUCGGAAACUGGAUAACUUGAGUGCAGAAGAGGGUAGUGGAACUCCAUGUGUAGCGGUGGAAUGCGUAGAUAUAUGGAAGAACACCAGUGGCGAAGGCGGCUACCUGGUCUGCAACUGACGCUGAGACUCGAAAGCAUGGGUAGCGAACAGGAUUAGAUACCCU
Molecule: ribosomal RNA, 462 nt
Filed under: uncultured bacterium
Lineage: Bacteria
Description: bacterial SSU rRNA
Rfam family: Bacterial small subunit ribosomal RNA
Source: RNAcentral